This 277-nucleotide ribosomal RNA is filed under the name uncultured bacterium. Its description in RNAcentral is "partial 16S ribosomal RNA". It matches the Rfam family "Bacterial small subunit ribosomal RNA", at positions 28 to 305 of the family's 1533-position model. The record is from RNAcentral.
GACGAACGCUGGCGGCGUGCCUAAUACAUGCAAGUCGAGCGCGGUGGUCUUCGGACUAUCGAGCGGCGGACGGGUGAGUAACACGUGGGCAACCUGCCUGAUGCAUCGGGAUAACGCUUGGAAACGAGUGCUAAUACCGAAUAGUCGCUUCUGCCGCCUGGCAGAAACGGGAAAGACGCGUUCGCGUCGGCAACAGAUGGGCCCGCGGCGCAUUAGCUAGUUGGUGGGGUAACGGCUCACCAAGGCCACGAUGCGUAGCCGACCUGAGAGGGUGACC